CGGGGGCCGCUUGCAUCUGCUGCUUUGCUCCACCUGGAGCAACAAACAGACGCGAGUCGCUAGUUAAAACUGAAGGUAAGUACUUACCUAACGGUUCCUUCCUUCAGGCUUGUAGCGGGAGCGCCUGACUCCCGCUUGCCGCUGUUGCCUGCGUGAACGUAAUGCCGCGCAUUCGUGCUGAGUGGGUUCCUCACGUAGUCACGCACUUGACUCCGAAGUAAAAUAUAGUAUUUAGCCUGAUAGCCUGAUGGUCAAAAUAGUUCUUAAGUCUGGUGGUACUUGCAGCCAUGCCCCUGUAUCGUCUGCCUGACGGUAACAAGGAGAACAGUCUGUGUGCUGGGUGGCCGUGGUCCUUGAUGAUGCUGUGUGCCUUCCACAGGCACCGACAGUGGAAAAUGUCCUGAAUGGCCAGGAGACAGUUGCCAGUGAUGUGCUGUGCCGCCUUCUCCACUCUCUGUAGUGAUUUGCGGCUGUGGGCAGAACAGUUCCCGUACCAGACUGUGAUGCAACCCGUCAGCAGGCUCUCGAUGGUGCAUCUAUAGAUGUUUGUGAGGAUGCUGGCAUUCAUGCCAAACUACCUCAGUAUUGUCAGGAGAAAGAGCCGCUGGCGGGCUUUCUUAGUUAUUGUGUCCGUGUGCAGUGUCCAGGAGAGGUCCUCACUGAUGUACACACUGAGGAACUUGAAGCUGCUGACCCUUUCAAUGUCAACAUCACCGUAUGGAUGGGGUGGUGUCCACUCCCCUGCUGUCUCCUGUAGUCCAUGAUCAGCUCUUUAGUUUAACAGACAUUGAGAGAGAGGUUGUUCCUUAUGCACACGUCAAUAAAGUGAGUCUGGAAAAUGAAUGCAAGUUGUUAGAGUCCUGAUCGGUGACGACAACACCAGACCUUGUCCGGUUUGUAAGCUUCCUAUUUCUCAUCUGCAGAAUUGUCUGUCUUUAUCCAAAACCCCUCCACUGAAGAGAUUUGGAUCAACAAGACCGCUACUGUGGUGUGCGUGGUAAUGGGCGCUGAUCUGAGCCAGGUCCAAGUCUACUGGCAAGUGAGCGGAAGGGAGAGAACUACAGGGGCUGUGACCCGCCAACCGAGAGGAGAAAGUACCCAAGACAGAGUGAGCAGUAAACUCCGGAGCAGUGUGGAGGAGUGGACCAGCGGGGUGGAGGUUGUGUGCUCUGCCCAACGAUCUCCAUCAUCCUCACCAGUGUCAGCACGGACAGAAGGUGCCAAAGUUGAAACAAAAAGACCCAAGGUCAGACUGCUGCCUCCAGCUCACCAAGAGACCAAGCGAAGCCACACAGCCACCCUCGAGUGUGUGCUCUCUGGUUUCUACCCGGACCUCAUAAACGUCACUUGGGAGAAAGACGGAGCCCCAAUCUCCUCCACUACCAGCGCUACACCGACUGCUCUGGAGCAAGGGGGGACUUUCAGUGCCAGCCACUUCCUGACUGUGAGUUCAGAGGAUUGGAAGAAAGGCUCAGUCUUCGGCUGUACAGUGUCUCAUCCCCCGUCGAACACCAGUAUCAGCCGGGAAGUGAAAAGCUUUCAAGCCGGCACAGAAUUGACAGGUGAGGAAGGGAAGGUGGAGUCAGGGGACUUGGAUGGAGAUGACAACAUGCUCACAGUUGCUGCCUUCGCCAUCUUGUUCGUUAUCAGUUUCCUCUACAGUACCUUCGUCACUGUUGUCAAGGUGCAACAAUGACCAGCCGACACACACGCCACAUUCACUCAAGAGAUCACCAUGCAGCUGCUGACGUUGACAAAUGGAGUCUCCCUGUCUUUCACUCACUCACUCGACAAUCUGAGGCUACUGCUCUGCAAACGCUCAUUACAGGAGAUAAACUUGGAAAUGCACUGGGGAUGCUGGG
This is a non-coding RNA of Leucoraja erinaceus (little skate), 1862 nucleotides long. NCBI's taxonomy places the organism in Eukaryota, Metazoa, Chordata, Chondrichthyes, Rajiformes, Rajidae. The record is from the annotation of a RefSeq genome assembly.